UAGAGUUUGAUCCUGGCUCAGGACGAACGCUGGCGGCGUGCCUAACACAUGCAAGUCGAGCGAAGUAUAUUUAAGUGAAGUUUUCGGACGGAACUUAAAUAUAUCUUAGCGGCGGACGGGUGAGUAACGCGUGAGCAACCUGCCUUUCACAAAGGGAUAGCCUCGGGAAACUGGGAUCAAUACCAUAUGAUACUUAACUUUCGCAUGAAAGAUAAGUUAAAGCGAAUAAGCGGUGAAAGAUGGGCUCGCGUCCUAUUAGCUAGUUGGUGAGGUAACGGCUCACCAAGGCGACGGUAGGUAGCCGGCCUGAGAGGGUGAACGGCCACACUGGAACUGAGACACGGUCCAGACUCCUACGGGAGGCAGCAGUGGGGGAUAUUGCACAAUGGAGGAAACUCUGAUGCAGCGACGCCGCGUGAAUGAUGAAGGCCUUCGGGUUGUAAAGUUCUGUCCUUGGGGAAGAUAAUGACGGUACCCAAGGAGGAAGCCCCGGCUAACUACGUGCCAGCAGCCGCGGUAAUUCA
RNAcentral lists this ribosomal RNA (524 nucleotides) under Clostridiaceae bacterium 47bZ. RNAcentral's name for it is "bacterial SSU rRNA". It matches the Rfam family "Bacterial small subunit ribosomal RNA", at positions 1 to 527 of the family's 1533-position model. Lineage: Bacteria; Bacillati; Bacillota; Clostridia; Eubacteriales; Clostridiaceae. The record is from RNAcentral.